GAGGACGAUUUUGGAAAGAAAUAGCAUAGUCGAGGAUGCAAUUGGUCAAUUUUGAAAGUCGAGGACCAAAGUGGUGAAAUUCUCAUAGUCGAGGGAC
Long non-coding RNA from Ipomoea nil (Japanese morning glory), 97 nucleotides. RefSeq lists it as uncharacterized. The transcript is spliced from 3 exons. Lineage: Eukaryota; Viridiplantae; Streptophyta; Magnoliopsida; Solanales; Convolvulaceae. The record is from RefSeq and is a predicted model, not a curated record.